GUCCAUGCCGUAAACGAUGGGCAUUAGGUGUGGGAGGUGUCGACUCCUCCCGCGCCGUCGCUAACGCAUUAAAUGCCCCGCCUGGGGAGUACGGCCGCAAGGCUAAAACUCAAAGGAAUUGACGGGGGCCCGCACAAGCAGCGGAGCAUGUGGUUUAAUUCGACGCAACGCGAAGAACCUUACCUGGGCUUGACAUGUCGGUGACCGGUGUGGAAACACACCUUUCCUUCGGGACACCGUCACAGGUGGUGCAUGGCUGUCGU
RNAcentral lists this ribosomal RNA (263 nucleotides) under uncultured bacterium. RNAcentral's name for it is "partial 16S ribosomal RNA". It matches the Rfam family "Bacterial small subunit ribosomal RNA", at positions 793 to 1055 of the family's 1533-position model. The record is from RNAcentral.